RNAcentral lists this ribosomal RNA (253 nucleotides) under uncultured bacterium. Its description in RNAcentral is "partial 16S ribosomal RNA". It matches the Rfam family "Bacterial small subunit ribosomal RNA", at positions 524 to 776 of the family's 1533-position model. The record is from RNAcentral.
UACAGAGGGGGCAAGCGUUGUUCGGAAUUACUGGGCGUAAAGGGCGCGUAGGCGGCCUGUUAAGUCGAACGUGAAAUCCCCGGGCUCAACCCGGGAACUGCGUCCGAUACUGGCAGGCUUGAAUCCGGGAGAGGGAUGCGGAAUUCCAGGUGUAGCGGUGAAAUGCGUAGAUAUCUGGAGGAACACCUGUGGCGAAAGCGGCUCACUGGACCACAACUGACGCUGAGGCGCGAAAGCUAGGGGAGCAAACAGG